AGAAGUUUACUCGAUGAUGGAUUUAUGAAGUGCAGUCCCUUUUGAGGUGUCAAUCGCUUGCGGGAUGGGUAGCUACACGUCGCCUGCACGUUUACCUUCUCUCUUGAUGCCCUGUUAGAUAUUGUCUUUUGCUCUGUAAUGUAUAUAAUGAGUUUGAUGGUGGUUCAGUUGUUUGGUCGAGGCUUGUACCUCGUUGCCAGGAUCUUUAUUUUGCUAGUGUGAUAUUCUAUAUCUGUUC
Long non-coding RNA from Phragmites australis (common reed), 238 nucleotides. RefSeq lists it as uncharacterized. The record is from RefSeq and is a predicted model, not a curated record. The transcript is spliced from 2 exons. Lineage: Eukaryota; Viridiplantae; Streptophyta; Magnoliopsida; Poales; Poaceae.